RNAcentral lists this ribosomal RNA (428 nucleotides) under uncultured bacterium. RNAcentral's name for it is "bacterial SSU rRNA". It matches the Rfam family "Bacterial small subunit ribosomal RNA", at positions 355 to 775 of the family's 1533-position model. The record is from RNAcentral.
UGGGGAAUUUUGGACAAUGGGCGCAAGCCUGAUCCAGCCAUGCCGCGUGCGGGAAGAAGGCCUUCGGGUUGUAAACCGCUUUUGGCAGGAACGAAACGGCGCGAGCUAAUACCUCGCGCUAAUGACGGUACCUGCAGAAUAAGCACCGGCUAACUACGUGCCAGCAGCCGCGGUAAUACGUAGGGUGCGAGCGUUAAUCGGAAUUACUGGGCGUAAAGCGUACGCAGGCGGCUUUGUAAGACAGGUGUGAAAUCCCCGGGCUCAACCUGGGAACUGCAUUUGUGACUGCAAAGCUAGAGUCUGUCAGAGGGGGGUGGAAUUCCACGUGUAGCAGUGAAAUGCGUAGAGAUGUGGAGGAACACCGAUGGCGAAGGCAGCCCCCUGGGAUGAGACUGACGCUCAUGUACGAAAGCGUGGGGAGCAAACAG